RNAcentral lists this ribosomal RNA (492 nucleotides) under uncultured bacterium. Its description in RNAcentral is "partial 16S ribosomal RNA". It matches the Rfam family "Bacterial small subunit ribosomal RNA", at positions 29 to 507 of the family's 1533-position model. The record is from RNAcentral.
AGUGAACGCUGGCGGUAGGCCUAACACAUGCAAGUCGAACGGCAGCACAGUAAGAGCUUGCUCUUACGGGUGGCGAGUGGCGGACGGGUGAGGAAUACAUCGGAAUCUACUUUUUCGUGGGGGAUAACGUAGGGAAACUUACGCUAAUACCGCAUACGACCUACGGGUGAAAGCAGGGGAUCUUCGGACCUUGCGCGAUUGAAUGAGCCGAUGUCGGAUUAGCUAGUUGGCGGGGUAAAGGCCCACCAAGGCGACGAUCCGUAGCUAGUCUGAGAGGAUGAUCAGCCACACUGGAACUGAGACACGGUCCAGACUCCUACGGGAGGCAGCAGUGGGGAAUAUUGGACAAUAGGCGCAAGCCUGAUCCAGCCAUACCGCGUGGGUGAAGAAGGCCUUCGGGUUGUAAAGCCCUUUUGUUGGGAAAGAAAAGCAGCAGGUUAAUACCCCGCUGUUCUGACGGUACCCAAAGAAUAAGCACCGGCUAACUUCGUG